This 206-nucleotide unclassified non-coding RNA is filed under the name Hevea brasiliensis (rubber tree). Lineage: Eukaryota; Viridiplantae; Streptophyta; Magnoliopsida; Malpighiales; Euphorbiaceae. The record is from RNAcentral.
GGACAGGUUGCUUUAGAUCCCAAAUAAUUUCUGAAGCAGCUUGCAAUUGACUGGGUGUAAGAGAAUAUGGAAGAGCCUUCAGAAAUUUCUUAGUCAGCAUGGACCAUCCAUCUGUGUUUAUCAAAUUGAAUUCAGAUUUCCGAUACUUAUCCAGCAAUCCAUCUUUCUCUACUUUUGUACCAAAACCUUCAAGCAUUUGGAAUAAC